Molecule: long non-coding RNA, 2860 nt
Filed under: Homo sapiens (human)
Lineage: Eukaryota; Metazoa; Chordata; Mammalia; Primates; Hominidae
Description: HSALNT0054819
Source: RNAcentral
CUCCUGGGUUCACGCCAUUCUCCUGCCUCAGCCUCCCGAGUAGCUGGGACUACAGGCGCCCGCCACCACGCCUGGCUAAUUUUUGUACUUUUAGUAGAGACGGGGUUUCACCCUGUUAGCCAGGAUGGUCUCGAUCUCCUGACCUCGUGUUCCGCCCGCCUGGGCCUCCCAGAGUGCUGGGAUUACAGGCGUGAGCCACCGCACCCUGCCUUAAACCUUAACUUUUUAAACCUUAUUUUAAAAGCAGUAUUUUCUAAGUCCCUCUCACUAAAACAAUCCUCUCAACCAAGCCUUCUCUUUUCAGAUAAAUUCAUAGAAACUUUAGGUUUAAGAUACUUUGUUGGCCAGGUGUGGUGGCUUACACCAGGAAUCCCAGCACUUUGGGAGGCCAAGGCUGGUAGAUCACUUGAGUCCAGGAGUUCCAGACCAGCCAGGGCAACAUGGCGAAACCCCAUCUCAACAAAAAGUACAAAUAUUAGCUGGGCUUGAUGGCAUGCAUCUGUGGUCCCAGCUACUCAGGCGGCUAAGGUGGGAGGUUCACUUGAGCUCAGGAGGCAGAGGUUGCAGUGAGCCAAGAUCACACCAUUCCACUCCAGCCUGGGCAACAGAGUGAGACCCUGUCUCAAAAAAAAAAAAAAAAAAAUACUUUGAGGUGUGUGAUUGUAACCUCAGUACUUUUAGUGCUGUAUAUGAACAGGGACACUUGACCUCUGCACUUCACAUUUUGAGUCGGGUCAAUUAGGUAGUUGCUUGUACUGUCUUCUACCUGCAGGUGGUAGAGUUUCUUUAUAGUUCCCAAAGUUAAGUGGCACCCCUUUUCAGCCCCUGGAACUUAACCUGGAAUUCUGCCCUAUACGGUGCUGUAAAACAAACCAUGUUUGAAACUACUGUAACGAAUACAGGUCAGACAGCAUCCCUAAAUGUAAGAAUUCCUGAGGUCCAGGUGCCCCUGUGGCUUUCUUAGCUUAGAACAUGGAGUUAAUCUCAUUUUAUUUACAACAUCACAAAUGACUCAAAGGAUGCAUUUGUAUUUCCUUUCCUACAUAUGGAGAAGAGGAGUUUUUUUAAUAGCUCUGCCUUGAGCUGAGUAUGUAAAUGCUCUGGUUUCUGUAUUCAAAUACUCCAUGUUUUGAAGUUAGCAAAGCCCUUAGAGAGUACAGCUGACCCUUGAACAACACAGUGGGGAGGGGCACCGGCCCUGCAUGCAGUUGAAAAUCUCCUAUAACCUUUGAUUUUCCCACAACUUAACUUCUAAUAGCCUACUGUUGACUGGAAGUCUUACCAAUAACAUAAACAGCCAAUUAACACAUAUUUUGCAUGUUAUGUGUAUUAUGUGCUGUAUUAUAAUAAAGUAAGCUAGAGAAAAAAAUGUAAUUAAAAUCAUGAGAAAAUAUAUUUACUAAUUCAUUAAAUGGAAGUGGACCAUCAGAAAGGUCUUUAUUCUUGUCAUCAUCUUGUUGAGUAGGCUGACGAGGAAGAGGAGGAAGGGGUUAGUCUUGCUGACUUAGGGGUGGCAGAGGCAGAAGCGGUGGAAGAGGAGGCAGGAGAGGUGGGCGCCUCAGUGUAACUUUACAGAAAGACAUCAUAAUUUCUGGCUUUUUUGCUUUUUCAUUUUUCUAAAAAUAUUUGUAUAUGGUACCAAUCCUUCCUCCACCACUUGCUUUAGGUUUAAUGCUUGUAUCAUAGAAGGGUCUGUGUUACAAAAGAAGUGAAAAGCAGUCUUGACUAAUCAGAAACCUGCCAGAUUGUUUAAUGUCGAUUUGUUUUCUGAUGCUGCUGCUUCUGUGUCGUCUUCAUCAUCACCUCACACUGAUGGGGAAGCACUCGUCUCCAGCAGGUUGUCUUCUCUUUGUUCCUCUAGUGUGGUUAUCUGUUAGCUCUUGAAUUUCUCCAAGAUCCGUAUCUUGAAACCCUUCACCCCCCACCUUUUUUGCCACAUCUACAAUCUCUUUCCUUGAUUGGCUCUGUUGUAAAUCCUGUGAAGUCAUGCACAUCAUCUGGACAGUUUUCUCCUGCAGGAAUUUAUUGUUUCAGGCUUGAUGGCUUUCAUGGCUUGCUCUGUCACAAUGAUGGCAUCUUCAGUGAUGUAAUUCUUCCAGACUUCCAUGUUGUUCUCUCUGUUGGUGUUCUCGUCCAUAGUGUUGACAAUCCUUUCCAUAAAGUACUGUGUGUAAUGAGCCUUGAAGGUCCUUAUGGCCUCCCAAUCUAGAGGCCAAAUUAUGAUGUGUUUGGGGGCAAGGAGACCACUCUGAGGACUUUAGUGUUGAACUCAUGGGGCUCUGGGUGGCUGGGGGCAUUGUCCAAUAUCAAAAGAACUUUAAAAGGCAGUCGCUUCCUGGGAAGGUACUUCUGACUUCAGGGACAAAGCAUCAGUGGAACCAAUCCAGAAAAGUUUUCUCAGUGUCCAGGCCUUCUUAUUGUACAACCAAAAGAUUGGCAGCUGGUGUUUAUCUUUUCCCUUCAAGGCCAGGGGGUUAGCAGCUUUAUAGAUAAGGCCAGUCCUGAUCAUAAACCCAAUUGCAUUUGUACAAAGCAGUCCAGUUAGCCUGUCCCUUCCUGCCUUAAAUCCUGAUGCAUGCUUCUCUUCCUUACUAAUCAAUGUCCUUUGUAGCAUUUUUUUCCCAGAAGAGGACACUUUCAUCUGCACUGAAAACCUGUUCAGGCAGGUAUCCUUUCUCCUCAGUGAUUUUCUUAAUGGCAUCCGGGAACUCACCUGCUGCCUCUUGGUCAGCAGAAGCUGCUUCUCCUGUUAUCUUGACAGUUUUUAAGCCAAACCACUUUUAAAAAUUAUCAAACCAUCCUUUACUGGCAUUAAAUUCUCCAGCUUUAGAUGCUUCACCUUCCUUUUGCUUUAAGUUGU